RNAcentral lists this ribosomal RNA (253 nucleotides) under uncultured bacterium. RNAcentral describes it as "partial 16S ribosomal RNA". It matches the Rfam family "Bacterial small subunit ribosomal RNA", at positions 524 to 776 of the family's 1533-position model. The record is from RNAcentral.
UACGUAGGCAGCAAGCGUUGUUCGGAAUUACUGGGCGUAAAGAGUGUGUAGGCGGUGUUGUAAGUCUGGUGUGAAAUCUCCCGGCUUAACUGGGAGGGGGCGGCGGAAACUGGAAUGCUAGAGGAUGGGAGAGGUAAGCGGAAUUCCUGGUGUAGCGGUGAAAUGCGUAGAUAUCAGGAGGAACACCUGUGGUGUAGACAGCUUACUGGACCAUUUCUGACGCUGAGACACGAAAGCGUGGGUAGCAAACAGG